This 484-nucleotide ribosomal RNA is filed under the name uncultured bacterium. RNAcentral describes it as "partial 16S ribosomal RNA". It matches the Rfam family "Bacterial small subunit ribosomal RNA", at positions 30 to 507 of the family's 1533-position model. The record is from RNAcentral.
AUUGAACGCUGGCUGCAUGCCUAACACAUGCAAGUCGAGCGGAUGAAGGGAGCUUGCUCCUGGAUUCAGCGGCGGACGGGUGAGUAAUGCCUAUGAAUCUGCCUGGUAGUGGGGGAUAACGUCCGGAAACGGGCGCUAAUACCGCAUACGUCCUGAGGGAGAAAGUGGGGGAUCUUCGGACCUCACGCUAACAGAUGAGCCUAGGUCGGAUUAGCUAGUGGGUGGGGUAAAGUCCUACCAAGGCGACGAUCCGUAACUGGUCUGAGAGGAUGACCAGUCACACUGGAACUGAGACACGGUCCAGACUCCUACGGGAGGCAGCAGUGGGGAAUAUUGGACAAUGGGCGAAAGCCUGAUCCAGCCAUGCCGCGUGUGUGAAGAAGGUCUUCGGAUUGUAAAGCACUUUAAGUUGGGAGGAAGGGCAGUAAGUUAAUACCUUGCUAUUUUGACGUUACCAAAAGAAUAAGCACCGGCUAACUUCGUG